This 608-nucleotide ribosomal RNA is filed under the name Undaria pinnatifida. RNAcentral's name for it is "eukaryotic LSU rRNA". It matches the Rfam family "Eukaryotic large subunit ribosomal RNA", at positions 21 to 667 of the family's 3401-position model. Lineage: Eukaryota; Phaeophyceae; Laminariales; Alariaceae. The record is from RNAcentral.
UUACCCGCUGGAUUUAAGCAUAUAACUAAGCGGAGGAAAAGAAACUAACCAGGAUUCCCCCAGUAACGGCGAGUGAAGCGGGAAGAGCUCACGUUGUAAAUCUGCCUUCGGGCCGAAUUGUAGUCUGGAGAGGCGCGGCCAGCCGCUGCCCGGGGCGAAGUCUCUUGGAAAAGAGCAUCAAGGAGGGUGACAAUCCCGUUCUUGCCCCACGGCAGCGCGCGUACGGUCCGUUUUCUAAGAGUCGAGUUGCUUGGGAUUGCAGCUCAAAGCGGGUGGUAAAUUCCAUCUAAAGCUAAACACGGGUGGGAGACCGAUAGCGAACAAGUACCGUGAGGGAAAGAUGCAAAGAACUUUGAAAAGAGAGUUAAAGAGUGCCUGAAAUUGCUGAAAGGGAAGCGAAGGAAACCAGUGUAUGGCGUCGAAGCUUUCCCUCCGCCCCUCGGGGCUCUGGGUCGCGUCUUCGCCUUGGCCAGGGUCGGGUACGGUUGCGGGAGCCUGCGCCGGGGAAGGUAGCCUCUCUUCGGAGGGUGAAGACCCCGGCGUGUCGUCGCGACUGUGGCCGGCUCUGACGAAAUGGUUUUCUUUACCCCGUCUUGAAAACACGGAAA